CUGGCGCACGGGUGAGUAACACGUAGGCAACCUGCCACCGGGAGGGGGACAACACGGCGAAAGCCGUGCUAAUACCGCAUAAUGCAGCGGGGCCGCAUGGCCACCGCUGCCAGGGGAAACCUGCCUGGUGAUGGGCCUGCGUCGCAUUAGCUAGUUGGUAGGGUAAUGGCCUACCAAGGCGAUGAUGCGUAGCUGUUCUGAGAGGAUGAUCAGCCACACGGGGACUGAGACACGGCCCCGACUCCUACGGGAGGCAGCAGUGAGGAAUCUUGCGCAAUGGACGAAAGUCUGACGCAGCCACGCCGCGUGCAGGACGAAGGCCCUACGGGUCGUAAACUGCUUUUGUCAGGGAAGAAACCGCGGGAUUUGUCCGCGCUGACGGUACCUGUCGAAUAAGCACCGGCUAACUCCGUGCCAGCAGCCGCGGUAAUACGGAGGGUGCAAGCGUUGUCCGGAAUCAUUGGGUGUAAAGGGUGCGCAGGCGGACUGCUAAGUCUGGGGUGAAAGACCACGGCUCAACCGUGGAAGGUCCCUGGAUACUGGUGGUCUUGAAUAUGAGACAGGUCGGUGGAAUUCGAGGUGUAGCGGUGAAAUGCAUAGAUAUCUCGAAGAACACCAGUGGUGAAGACGGCCGGCUGGAUCAUUAUUGACGCUCAGGCACGAGAGCGUGGGGAGCAAACAGGAUUAGAUACCCUGGUAGUCCACGCCGUAAACGAUGGAUACUAGGUGUCGUGGCUUUCGGGCUGCGGUACCGCAGCUAACGCGUUAAGUAUCCCACCUGGGG
RNAcentral lists this ribosomal RNA (784 nucleotides) under uncultured bacterium. RNAcentral describes it as "bacterial SSU rRNA". It matches the Rfam family "Bacterial small subunit ribosomal RNA", at positions 95 to 878 of the family's 1533-position model. The record is from RNAcentral.